UCAAACAAAACACAAUGUACACCCUGUAUAAACAAUAUCUCGGCACAAAAUUACUGCCUUAAAAGCAAUGUCGACAAAAACGAGACUAAAUUUGGGUCAGCGCUGAGGUUUUGGAACUUAGCAACUCGAAUGAGAAUCACAGUCAGCAGCUUUAGGUAUGGAAUAAUCCUCAACAACAGAGCGCUUAUUUUGAAGCUGUGUAAGAACCCCCAUUUCAUCUCAGGAAGCCUUAUAUGUACAUAUAUCUUCAAUAGAAUAUUUCUAAAACGGAUUUUUGUUUGAUGCCAACUUACCAGCCAAUUGAU
Long non-coding RNA from Teleopsis dalmanni, 305 nucleotides. RefSeq lists it as uncharacterized. The record is from RefSeq and is a predicted model, not a curated record. The transcript is spliced from 4 exons. NCBI's taxonomy places the organism in Eukaryota, Metazoa, Arthropoda, Insecta, Diptera, Diopsidae.